UGAAAUUAAAGUAGUUUUUAUAUAAUUAUGUAGAGUAAAAGUAAUCGAUGUAAUAUUUUUUUUUUGCAGUGCCCUCGUCAAAUUAAUGUUAUUGACUGUGGAUAUUUUGUAAUGCGAUAUAUGAAAGAGGUCAUCAUGGAAAAUGAAAAUAUGAUCCCCAUAAAUUACUUUCCUGACCACAAAUGCCGCACCUACUCUAAAGAUAAAUUAACUAAUGUCAAGGAGGAUUGAGCUACCUAUGUGGUGGAUGAUGUUUUUGGAAACCAAGAAGCUGUUAUUCUUCCUAACUAGGUCAUUGUGUAUAUGAUUCAUAUUGAAUUAGAAAGUUGAAACUGUUGGGGUUAAUUUGCGGCUUUGGAAGAUGGACAAUUUGGAUUUUUUUGGUUCAGCUGUUGUUGCGUGCAGGUUGGAAAGUGCAAUUGGUUGAAUGAAGCUGUUAUUAGUUGUUGCUGUUGUUUUGUCCUUGUUUUUUAAUUUAGGUGGUAAUUCUUUAGUUAAGGAAAUAUGAGUAGAAUAUUUGUUUGAAAUAUUGUUUUUAGCAUUGUGGUUUUAUCCACAAUUUUGACUAUGUAAUGCCCUCUUUGUUAUGAUAUUUGUAGACAAGAUUUUUCGAUUAAUGCAGAUUGAUUGAUCAUAUUGCAUA
Molecule: long non-coding RNA, 643 nt
Organism: Medicago truncatula (barrel medic)
Lineage: Eukaryota; Viridiplantae; Streptophyta; Magnoliopsida; Fabales; Fabaceae
Exons: 3
Source: RefSeq, a predicted model, not a curated record